UUAGGCGAACGGGUGAGUAAUACAUAGGUAACCUACCCUUAAGACGAGGAUAGCCAUUGGAAACGAUGGAUAAAACUGGAUAGGAUAUAGAGGAAGAAUCUUUUAUAUUUAAAAGAGAGAUCUGCUUAAGGAGGGGCCUGUGGCGCAUUAGCUAGUUGGUGGGGUAAGGGCCUACCAAGGCGAUGAUGCGUAGCCGGACUGAGAGGUUGAACGGCCACAAUGGAACUGAGAACGGUCCAUACUCCUACGGGAGGCAGCAG
This 260-nucleotide ribosomal RNA is filed under the name uncultured bacterium. RNAcentral describes it as "partial 16S ribosomal RNA". It matches the Rfam family "Bacterial small subunit ribosomal RNA", at positions 94 to 354 of the family's 1533-position model. The record is from RNAcentral.